RNAcentral lists this ribosomal RNA (563 nucleotides) under Escherichia coli. RNAcentral describes it as "partial 16S ribosomal RNA". It matches the Rfam family "Bacterial small subunit ribosomal RNA", at positions 963 to 1526 of the family's 1533-position model. Lineage: Bacteria; Pseudomonadati; Pseudomonadota; Gammaproteobacteria; Enterobacterales; Enterobacteriaceae. The record is from RNAcentral. RNAcentral also lists the same sequence under 2 other names.
GAAGAACCUUACCUGGUCUUGACAUCCACGGAAGUUUUCAGAGAUGAGAAUGUGCCUUCGGGAACCGUGAGACAGGUGCUGCAUGGCUGUCGUCAGCUCGUGUUGUGAAAUGUUGGGUUAAGUCCCGCAACGAGCGCAACCCUUAUCCUUUGUUGCCAGCGGUCCGGCCGGGAACUCAAAGGAGACUGCCAGUGAUAAACUGGAGGAAGGUGGGGAUGACGUCAAGUCAUCAUGGCCCUUACGACCAGGGCUACACACGUGCUACAAUGGCGCAUACAAAGAGAAGCGACCUCGCGAGAGCAAGCGGACCUCAUAAAGUGCGUCGUAGUCCGGAUUGGAGUCUGCAACUCGACUCCAUGAAGUCGGAAUCGCUAGUAAUCGUGGAUCAGAAUGCCACGGUGAAUACGUUCCCGGGCCUUGUACACACCGCCCGUCACACCAUGGGAGUGGGUUGCAAAAGAAGUAGGUAGCUUAACCUUCGGGAGGGCGCUUACCACUUUGUGAUUCAUGACUGGGGUGAAGUCGUAACAAGGUAACCGUAGGGGAACCUGCGGUUGGAUCAC